AGAGUCGCCCGGAUCACUGCGUUACUUAAGAGCCUAAUUAACUUUUAAGCACCGAGGAAAGUCCGGACUCCAAUGGGCAAAGUUGUGGGUAACUCCCACCCGGAGCGAUCCGCGGGAUUAGUGCAACAGAGAGUAAACCGCCAAUAGCAAUAUUGGUAAGGGUGAAACGGUGG
This 173-nucleotide RNase P RNA is filed under the name Actinomycetota bacterium. RNAcentral's name for it is "Actinobacteria bacterium partial RNase P RNA component class A". It matches the Rfam family "Bacterial RNase P class A", at positions 1 to 165 of the family's 367-position model. Rfam says of the family: Ribonuclease P (RNase P) is a ubiquitous endoribonuclease, found in archaea, bacteria and eukarya as well as chloroplasts and mitochondria. Its best characterised activity is the generation of mature 5'-ends of tRNAs by cleaving the 5'-leader elements of precursor-tRNAs. The record is from RNAcentral. Lineage: Bacteria; Bacillati; Actinomycetota.